RNAcentral lists this ribosomal RNA (489 nucleotides) under uncultured bacterium. Its description in RNAcentral is "bacterial SSU rRNA". It matches the Rfam family "Bacterial small subunit ribosomal RNA", at positions 29 to 496 of the family's 1533-position model. The record is from RNAcentral.
UACGAACGCUGGCGGCGUGCCUAAUACAUGCAAGUCGAGCGGAUCUUGUUAGUAGCUUGCUACUAACUUGGUUAGCGGCGGACGGGUGAGUAACACGUAGGCAACCUGCCCACAAGAUCGGGAUAACAUUCGGAAACGAAUGCUAAGACCGGAUAAACAAUCUGGCCGCAUGGCUGGAUUGGGAAACGCGGAGCAAUCUGCGGCUUGUGGAUGGGCCUGCGGCGCAUUAGCUAGUUGGUGGGGUAAUGGCUCACCAAGGCGACGAUGCGUAGCCGACCUGGGAGGGUGAACGGCCACACUGGGACUGAGACACGGCCCAGACUCCUACGGGAGGCAGCAGUAGGGAAUCUUCCACAAUGGGCGAAAGCCUGAUGGAGCAACGCCGCGUGAGUGAGGAAGGCUUUCGGGUCGUAAAGCUCUGUUGCCAGGGAAGAAUAAGGAUGAGAGUAACUGCUCAUUCGAUGACGGUACCUGAGAAGAAAGCCCCGG